UACGUAGGUGGCAAGCGUUGUCCGGAAUUAUUGGGCGUAAAGCGCGCGCAGGCGGCCCUUUAAGUCCGUCGGUCAAAUGCCGGGGCUCAACCCCGUUGCAUGCCGAGGAUACUGGAGGGCUGGAGACACGUAGAGGCAGGCGGAAUUCCGGGUGUAGCGGUGGAAUGCGUAGAGAUCCGGAAGAACACCGGUGGCGAAGGCGGCCUGCUGGGCAGUAGCUGACACUGAGGCGCGACAGCGUGGGGAGCAAACAGG
RNAcentral lists this ribosomal RNA (255 nucleotides) under uncultured bacterium. Its description in RNAcentral is "partial 16S ribosomal RNA". It matches the Rfam family "Bacterial small subunit ribosomal RNA", at positions 524 to 776 of the family's 1533-position model. The record is from RNAcentral.